This 972-nucleotide long non-coding RNA is filed under the name Volvox carteri. RNAcentral describes it as "long non-coding RNA (VCAR_LNC000370)". Lineage: Eukaryota; Viridiplantae; Chlorophyta; Chlorophyceae; Chlamydomonadales; Volvocaceae. The record is from RNAcentral.
GCCGUUUCCCAGUUUUGCGCCAGCAAAAAUGGCCUUGUUACAUUAUACGGCAACUCGAUUAAAUCGACUAUAGUUCAGAACUGCUGGCAGUGCGGUACCUCUCAAUAUAAAGAUGCGAGUUCGGAGUGCUGUCACGAUUCGGACAUGGAUUCGGACGGGGCGGUCAUACAUGCAUGGGGCGGCCAAUACCGGCCUUCACAGACAGCCACCGGCAACUGGCGAGGCGCAUCCACAAAGGAGCUAUCGAAAUGUACGGCACCAGCAGCGGCGGCCGCAUCUCCGAAACCGGCUAUAGUUGCCGGGAAGCCGGCUACCGUCCUCCGAUCACCUGUUCCUGGUUUCGUAACACAGCCAGCCGCGCAUCAACUUCCAAUUCUAAGCUCUUCAGCUGCCUCCUAGCUCUUCUUUCCGCUUCAAGUCAUUGAUCUCCCGGAUCGCCUCACCUUCCGUACCGCCAGCCAGCUCCUAGUGCUGCAGCCUUUCAGCCCUUACAUCCAAAGAGACAUGACUAAGCAUCAGCCACCCUGUGUAUGUGCUCGCUUCCGUUUCUGCUCCUGACCUCCCAAACCAUACAUAUAUCUGAUACUUGCUCAUUGGCUACUCCUUGUGUUUUGCCCUGGCCUUUAGACGUAUUGUUCCGCGUUGCGAAGUAUUUUGAUUAUCGACCUUUUGGAUUCCUAGCCGACCCUCAACGCUCUUAAAACUCUUUAUUUUCGAGCAUCAUUACGUGUGUGCACAUGUAUAUGUUCUUCUCCUAGCAACAUCGCCGCUACGUGGGCAAGCGUCUACACGCAUCACGUGGUACCCUCGUGGUGCUCAUGAUGAUCAACCUUAACCGCAUGCUGCACGUUGUCUGUUCCCAUAUCCGGUACACCAUGCAAAAUAGCAGAAGGCAGUGCUCUCCUAGGGUGUGCGCAGAAAGGCCAGAUGUUUGGUUUACCCAUCCCGUCCACAUGGGCGGUAAUCCUUGUC